CUCCCCUCCGCGCCUUUAUUAUUAUUCGCGAUUCUUAUUCCACCCUGUAAUGUUGCAUGAAGACAAAAACGCAAAUUAGAGCAUUUUCUAGGAUUGAAUUCUUCGAUCGAAGUUAUUAUUCAACGGCCACUCAAAUGGUGGUCCGUUAAGACUAACUUUUCCAUGCAAGUAUGCGACAACUCUACAUUCAAAAAAAACAUGCAACCAGCCAAAUAGCUCACCCGGAGUAAAUCAGAGUAUUCCAGCAAUGCACGAAUCCCAAUUUAUCAGCUCGUUCAACGCUCCAAUUCUAGCAGUCCUCUAAAUCUAAGGUUGAGAUCCAAGCAUUAAAGUAUUCACAGACUGCGGAGCAAGUAAAGCCUACGGCAAAACCCGUGCAGCUUUUAUCCCAAAACGUCCCUAGCUAAAAAUACCGUGUAUUUAGAUACACAACCUCAGCACCUAGACUUUCUUCUCAUAAUCAUUAUGAACAGCGCACAGUCUAACAAGCAUUAACCCCGUAGGUGUCAGACUGUCAGCCAACAAAAAGAAUACUAGUUGAGGUAGUG
Molecule: long non-coding RNA, 548 nt
Filed under: Elaeis guineensis (African oil palm)
Lineage: Eukaryota; Viridiplantae; Streptophyta; Magnoliopsida; Arecales; Arecaceae
Description: long non-coding RNA (EGUI_LNC005654)
Source: RNAcentral